Molecule: ribosomal RNA, 639 nt
Filed under: Clostridioides difficile
Lineage: Bacteria; Bacillati; Bacillota; Clostridia; Peptostreptococcales; Peptostreptococcaceae
Description: partial 23S ribosomal RNA
Rfam family: Bacterial large subunit ribosomal RNA
Source: RNAcentral
AGGUGGGAGGCUUUGAAACCAGGACGCCAGUUUUGGCGGAGCCAUCCUUGGGAUACCACCCUUGUAGUACUGGGACUCUAACCAUAGGCCAUGAAUCUGGUCUUGGGACACUGUCAGGUGGGCAGUUUGACUGGGGCGGUCGCCUCCCAAAAGGUAACGGAGGCGCUCAAAGGUUCUCUCAGUACGGUCGGAAAUCGUACGUAGAGUGUAAAGGCAAAAGAGAGCUUGAUUGCAAGACAUACAGGUCGAGCAAGGAUGAAAAUCGGACUUAGUGAUCCGGUGGUUCUGCGUGGAAGGGCCAUCGCUCAACGGAUAAAAGCUACCCUGGGGAUAACAGGCUUAUCUCCCCCAAGAGUCCACAUCGACGGGGAGGUUUGGCACCUCGAUGUCGGCUCAUCACAUCCUGGGGCUGUAGUAGGUCCCAAGGGUUGGGCUGUUCGCCCAUUAAAGUGGUACGCGAGCUGGGUUCAGAACGUCGUGAGACAGUUCGGUCCCUAUCCGUCGCAGGCGUAGGAAAUUUGAGAAGACCUGUCCUUAGUACGAGAGGACCGGGAUGGACGUACCUCUGGUGUACCAGUUGUUCUGCCAAGGGCAUGGCUGGGUAGCUAUGUACGGAAUGGAUAAGCGCUGAAAGCAUCU